GGCGGCCUUGGCCAGAUCGAUGCUGUGGUGGGUGUCGUUGGUGCCGACGCCGGCCACGAUGUGGGCCCGGUCUCCGACGGCCUCCA
RNAcentral lists this transfer RNA (86 nucleotides) under Streptomyces phaeofaciens. RNAcentral describes it as "tRNA-Thr". Lineage: Bacteria; Bacillati; Actinomycetota; Actinomycetes; Kitasatosporales; Streptomycetaceae. RNAcentral also lists the same sequence under 1 other name. The record is from RNAcentral.